This 231-nucleotide unclassified non-coding RNA is filed under the name Rhizophagus prolifer. RNAcentral's name for it is "partial contains 5.8S ribosomal RNA and internal transcribed spacer 2". The stretch from base 1 to 65 matches the Rfam family "5.8S ribosomal RNA", at positions 84 to 154 of the family's 154-position model. Lineage: Eukaryota; Fungi; Glomeromycota; Glomeromycetes; Glomerales; Glomeraceae. The record is from RNAcentral.
GUGAAUCAUCGAAUCUUUGAACGCAAAUUGCACUCUCUUCGGAGAGUAUGCCUGUUUGAGGGUCAGUAUUAAUAAAAAUCGGCGUGUUGCUCUUUUGUGACGUUCCGGAGUUUGGGUCAUCUUAUAACAACACCCUUUCAGGGUACUUUUAGGAGCCUAAAAUUUGACUUUUUUGUUCCAUUUUAGACGUACAUAAUUUUUUUUUAUUGUUUUAUCUUAUUGCAAAACCUC